This is a long non-coding RNA of Drosophila persimilis, 911 nucleotides long. RefSeq lists it as uncharacterized. The transcript has 2 exons. The record is from RefSeq and is a predicted model, not a curated record. Lineage: Eukaryota; Metazoa; Arthropoda; Insecta; Diptera; Drosophilidae.
UUUUGAUUCGAUUUGCAACAAUUUAUCCUCAAAUUCAGUUCCAGUCAACCCACAUACCCCCUCCCCUAAGUCGUUCGGUGUCCGGUCCGUAAUUCGCCCGUAUUGCGCAUUUCCGUAAUUUGAAUUGGUUUCCAUUAUUCAUUGUUCAUUGCAACGUGUGGAACGCCAGGCAUUUCUCAUGGCAUAAGUUUCGGUUUUCAGUUUCGGGACCACGCAUACGGAUGAAUGAUCGAAAGUAAAAUCCUUCUUAGACCGUUAUAUGCGCUGGAACAUACGUAAAAAGCCUACGAUUGCGCGUCGUGAGCAUCUCUGUUCUGCUCUGACGAUCGUGCAGUCACGCGCACAUCUCUAAUUGGAUGCCAAAGAGAGACAGAAACAGAGCGAGAGAGAGAUCUAAACAGCUAAUCAAUGGAGAGAAAUGAAGCCUCUCUACCAGUAUACAAGUGUUUAUAUGCAAUGCCUAUACAAGUAUAUGGUUUAAGUAUACAUGUAUAGAUUUUGUGGUUACAUAAACAAUGCCAAACGUUUGCCAAACGUCAGUGGCAGUUACAGAUUACAGAUUAGGCCUUGAUCAAGGGCGGAUGGAGGCCCUGGCCUGCCCUGCCCGUGCACAGAGGAUAAAAAACGGAAAAAAAGAGAAGAUGAUCGUGCUUGGCCUUGUUUCACUGCCUGGUGGAGUCACAAUAUUUGCGCAUCAAUUACGGACACUAUUUGUUCCUCGUGAAUGACGAUGGGGGGCUUAUGGAGCAAAAGCGCCCAUGAUAAAACGAACCACUGCACCCACCACUCGGCUGGGACCAAGGUCAAGAUGCACGCGUCCUUGGCGACCAGGAGAGCUGUCCCCAGUGUCUUUCAUGUUCUUUUCUGAAAUUGCUCGUUUGCUUUUGCUUAAAGUUGUUUUCAAUUCGGAA